Gasterosteus aculeatus aculeatus (three-spined stickleback) is the source of this 625-nucleotide long non-coding RNA. The record is from Ensembl. Lineage: Eukaryota; Metazoa; Chordata; Actinopteri; Perciformes; Gasterosteidae.
GGCAGGUCGGACUGCGUGUUUGCUCGUUUUGUCCCGGAGCUAUGCCACGCUGAGGUCCCGACUGCCCUGACCCGUUUUGGACUGCUGCUGCUUUGUGUGGGGAUAAAACCCACACUUUUUACGGACCUUGCCUGCUGCUGCGUUCGGGUGCUGAGGGCCUCACUGGUGAUCCUGUUUGGUGAUGGUCGGACUGCGUGUUUGCUCGUUUUGUCCCGGAGCUAUGCCACGCUGAGGUCCCGACUGCCCUGACCCGUUUUGGACUGCUGCUGCUUUGUGUGGGGAUAAAACCCACACUUUUUACGGACCUUGCCUGCUGCUGCGUUCGGGUGCUGAGGGCCUCACUGGUGAUCCUGUUUGGUGAUGGUGUCCCUUCGUGUGUAGUGUCUUAUUCACUCCCCUCCUUUGUUUUGCUUUGCCCUUGUGUGUUUGGAGUGUUAAUUUUGGAUUGUGGUGCUCCCAUUUUAAGUUUAUACUUUCACCCCUCACUCACCUUGAGCACAAAUGCCCCAGCCCUGGAAUACAUGAUAAUUUAUACAAAUAGGAUAACUUUUUUAGAUUUGAAUUGUGCCCAAUAAACUGUUGUAUAUGCUUUUGGAAACACGUCUCUCGCCUGCUCAGUGUAACG